This 255-nucleotide unclassified non-coding RNA is filed under the name plant metagenome. RNAcentral's name for it is "partial contains small subunit ribosomal RNA, internal transcribed spacer 1, and 5.8S ribosomal RNA". The stretch from base 1 to 54 matches the Rfam family "Eukaryotic small subunit ribosomal RNA", at positions 1778 to 1831 of the family's 1831-position model. The record is from RNAcentral.
GGAAGUAAAAGUCGAAACAAGGUUUCCGUAGGUGAACCUGCGGAAGGAUCAUUAUUGGAUUUUGAAACUUCAGGCUGCUGCUGGCUCUCCUCGGAGGGCAUGUGCACGCUUGUUGUCCAUUAUUUCUCCCACUGUGCACAAAUUGUAGACCUUUCAGUAGGCCUAUGUUGUUUUUCACAAUCUCUGAAUGUAAUAGAAUGGUUUUGAAUCUUGGGAAAUACAAUACAACUUUCAGCAACGGAUCUCUUGGCUCUC